This 139-nucleotide ribosomal RNA is filed under the name Salmonella enterica subsp. enterica serovar Montevideo. RNAcentral's name for it is "partial 23S ribosomal RNA". It matches the Rfam family "Bacterial large subunit ribosomal RNA", at positions 89 to 232 of the family's 2925-position model. Lineage: Bacteria; Pseudomonadati; Pseudomonadota; Gammaproteobacteria; Enterobacterales; Enterobacteriaceae. The record is from RNAcentral.
UAUGAACCGUUAUAACCGGCGAUACCCGAAUGGGGAAACCCAGUGUGAUUCGUCACACUAUCAUUAACUGAAUCCAUAGGUUAAUGAGGCGAACCGGGGGAACUGAAACAUCUAAGUACCCCGAGGAUUUCGUCAGCGC